Oreochromis aureus is the source of this 743-nucleotide long non-coding RNA. NCBI's taxonomy places the organism in Eukaryota, Metazoa, Chordata, Actinopteri, Cichliformes, Cichlidae. The record is from Ensembl.
GUGCUUAGCAAAAGUUUUAUUAGAUCUUAUUUAUUUUUUUUAUUUUUUACUUUAUUCAUUUUUUUUUAAAUUUCCAGACUAGGAGAAAGAGAAGCUCUCGGCCUCCUUUCAUCUGUCUCUCUCUCUCUGUGGGUGCUGAAUGUCUCUCGCCCGCUCUCACCUGUCUUCAUGGAGCUGCAGACUGUAUUUAUAUCUGCUGACAACAUCCUGCCUGCUGUCUGACCUCAGAUCUGCCCUCCUUUUAUUUUAUGUCUCUCAACAUGAGAGCUGCACCUCCUCGUCCUCCAUGUGAGCAUCUUUCUUUACUGUCCUGUGGUCACAACAAACUGCUGGAAUCUCUUCAGUUAUGCUGAUGUUUGUUUUCAUGAACACUCCGAUGCCGUGCCGCUGAGGAUGAGGAGGCAGUGCAGCUCCUUCCCUCCAUGUUUGGGGAAGGGUGCAGGUGUGACUGUUUCUGCAGGGGGUCAGAAACUACCUGAGAGUGAAAGCAUGGCUGCUGAGGAGUCUCCUGUCUUCUGUGUGGAUUCAGUUUGUCAGACAGGACGAGAGACAUUUACAUAACAAACACAGGGAGAGAGAGAAACCCUGCUUUGGUUUCUGCUGUUUUAUCUUUAAUGUGAAGAAAACGAACCAGAAACAACAUCAGCACGGUCUCUCUCUCUCUCUCUCUCUCUCUCUCACACACACACACACACACACACACACACACAGGACUUCUUGUCAAGCUGAAAUGUGACUUUUCC